Loxodonta africana (African savanna elephant) is the source of this 6847-nucleotide long non-coding RNA. RefSeq lists it as uncharacterized. NCBI's taxonomy places the organism in Eukaryota, Metazoa, Chordata, Mammalia, Proboscidea, Elephantidae. The record is from RefSeq and is a predicted model, not a curated record. The transcript is spliced from 4 exons.
CAGUUACUCACGGAAGCGCUGGGACGGGUGGUGAGGGGCCCGGGCAGGUGGCGCGCCUUACAGCGGACGGUGUUCGUGCUGCUUUCCGUGCCGUGGUUUCUGAAAGAUACAGACCAGAAGAGGAGUUUGGGGCUUGACACCUGACAUCUUAACACCAGUUCCUGUUUCUUGAGGAAGGAAGAGGUAAAAUAAAUCAGCGUUUUCUGUGUCCUUCUCCAUCCCCGGAAGUCCUCAUGAAGACCCUCUCAGCUUCAACUUGAACGUGAAUAUGAGCAGCUGAUCAUCUGUUCUGCAGUCAGCCCCUGGCCAGAUUCUGACUCAUGAUAUUGACCUUCUCCAUCAUCACCUUCCACAAAUUUGAUUCCUGUCUAUUCUGCCUGGAAUGGUGCACGAGUAUAGUCACCGUUUAUGCUCCUGAUGAAAGGUACGGCGCCUCUAUAAAAGUCCUCCCUUCAAAGAGAGUUAAAAGAGAUGAGCAUUUCUCCUGUUUGAAUGUUUACUUGUUAAAUAUGGUAAGAAAAUCACCGGCGUAGAAGAAAUCUUUAGGAGAAGUUUCAGACUGUUAAAAAGGUUCAGGGAAAUGAGGACAUUUACAUGUUCCAAAGGAGGAAAUUCACUUGGCAUUCAACAUAUCAAUGCCACGAAAAAAUUAACUUGAAGAUUCUUUGUUUACAAAUAUGAAACCCCACAAUACUAUUUUCAAAGGGCGUGAACUUUUGUUACAAGGCACUACUAUCACUAGAAUGGGACCUUUGGUGACACAAACCGUUUGCUCUCUACAGAUAAAUGAAGGGUUAGUGGUUCCAACUCACACAGGUGCGUCCUGAAAGAGAGGCCUUGCUUCUGCUUUCAUAAUGAUUACAGCCAAGAAUACUCUAUGGAGUGCAGCUUUACUCUGUAACACAUGGUAUAGCCAUGAGUCAGAAUCCACUGCUUGGAAAUGGCUAUUAUCAUUGGUACCAUUUUGCAGAGAUUUUAUUGCUCACAGCAAUGCCCCCAAAAAUAUGGUAGCUUUGGUGGAAAGAGAGAAGGGACGAGGUCUGCAGAGGUGGAGGAUGCUGGUGAUGGAGAGGCCUCCAGGGAUUCCUGAGACCAGAGCCUUGGGCUCCUAUAUGAAGAUCAGGGCCAUGAGAGCUCAUAUAAAUUAACUAUUCUCAGAGGUCUCUAUCCAAAAGGAAAAUGCCCAAGAAUCCACAACAUCUCAAGCAAAAAACCCAAGCUCUAGGGCCAGAAAGACUCCACUACCAUCAAAGAGGCCUUUUCCCUCAGCUUCCACUGAGCAGAUAUCUCAUUCAUCCAGCUAAGGGGCUACCCCAGAGAAGCGAUGGGUAAGGUGUGUAUAUUUCACCCAGGUGCACACGGUCAAGGGGGUGGCUGUGUCCUGGCAGACCAAAACCUCCUUUGCCCCCGUGGAACAGAUGCCCCAAGUCUUUGAGGCCGAGCUCUCUGAGUAGAGCACCGUCGCCGUGCCCCCAGUCUGGCCAACACUGAGUCCCUGGUAAGCACCCUGGGGCCUUGGAAGGAGGGGCCCCAGGCCCGCACCACUGAGCCCAGAGUCUGAGGAGAGGAGCAUGGGGAAAGCCUCCACGCAGUCACCCUGGAGUGGCUAGUGACCCAUGAGCGCAGCUUCCACUGCUUGGCCUGCUGCCUUGUGUUCAAGUCCCAGGAGGCCCUGGUGGCUCACAUGGAGCAUGGAAUGAGCCAGGGCUUCAGCAACCAGGUCCUCUGUGAAGAGCUGCUGGAAAAGGAACUGCCACCCUCACCCCCAUGCAAGCCCAGAGGCUGCCACCAGCUGGCCAAGGCCACUUGAUGGCCUCCAAGAAGAGGGAGGUGUGGGAGAGGAGUGCCGUCUGCAGGAGCUGGAGGGGCAGCUGGAGAAGCAGAGAGAGCAGCUGAGGAGGUUGAGGCACCAGCUGGUGAGGUUGCAGAGGCAGGAGGCCAGGCUACAGAGGGUGGGGGCACAGCACUGAAGCCAGAGGAGGAAGAGCCUGAAGACCUGCUAGCAACUUGGGACUGGGAGGAGCAGGGCAUUUGUGCUGGGAAAUGUGGGUCGUCUCAUCAGCUGCUACCCAAAAGAUAUGUGGCCCACGGAAGAAAGGCCUGGCAAUCUACUUCUGUACUAUCACAGUCAUUGAAAACUCUGUGCAGUGCAGUUCUACUCUGAAACACCUGGGUUCACCAUGCAUUGAAAUCAACAAGACAGUAGGUUUUUGUUCUGUUAAGGCCUCUGUUCAGGCUCCUUUAACCCACCUGCCUGUAAGAACCUCUCCUCCCAGCCUGUGCCCCAAUCCAACUACUCCAAGUGCAUGGAGAGCUGCAAUCCUAGGGGGACCUGGAAAGAAGGAGCCCCAGAACACCUGACUGCAGACACCAGGUCUGCUCAGAGGUUCCCCUAGCCUAGGAGAGGAGAGGACAGGCCUGAUCUGGAUGGUGAGGUCUCAGAACUCUGAGAAUGAGCACAGCAUAAGGAGGGGGGGAGAAAUGGGAUUUCAGUGGGACUUGGGAGGCUGAGGGGGACUCUGCAAAGACAGCUCCAACGGAAGUGUGCUGGUGAACGGGGUGUCACUGAGUUCUUUGCAUAGAAGGAACCAGAGAGAGAGUAGGCUGUGGCGAGACCUGCCUGUAGGUGAGCAGUGGGCGUAAGGCCCUACCCAAGGACUCUGGGUCACUUCUCAUCAUCCUCCAAGCAUAGAAAGGAGGAGGUCCUGGUUGGGCAAAGAGGAGGAGGUGGUGAAAUAAAGAGCUCACCGCAUUCAAGUCUACUGCCCUCACUGGGGGAAUUUGGGUUUAUUGCUGUGAUUUAGUGUUGCCUCUUUGGAGGAAACCCUCAUGGCGUAUUGGUUAAGUGCCACGGCUGCUAACCAAAGCGUCGGCAGUUCGAAUCCACCAGGUGCUCAUUGGAAACUCUAUGGGGCAGUUCUACUCUGUCCUGUAGGGUCACUAUGAGUCGGAAUUGACUUGGCGGCACUGGGUACUGGGCCUCUUUGGACUGGAGUGGGAGAUGGUUUAGAAAAACUCUCCUGGGUGUCCCUUUUCUGCAUAACAGUAGAUCUAGUAGUGUCUGCGUAACUCAUGCAAAGGAUGAGUUCCUAGGAUGUAAGGAAACUUUUUUUCUUUUAAAAAACCUUUUUCUGUUUGAUUUUGCACAUAUCAAUGACACUAGCUUGUUCUUUCUUUUUUUCUGUGGUAUAAUUUGGCCAAUCCUGGGGUCAGAGAACGGGAAGAAAAAGACUGGACUGGAAGUAUAGGAACAAAGGCAGACGAGGCCUCUUAACCCUGGGAGAACACAGAUGGUUAGAGGUGAGGCCAGCAAGGGGCAGAUUCAGGCCCAGACUGUAUAAUGAGCAGAAAAGCCCAAGUCUUAGACACAUCAUCAUGUCCCACACCCUGGAAGAUGCCAGGGGCAUGUUGACCCUCCUGGGAGAUAAGACCCCAAAUGGCACAGGGAAGCCUUCAGGAGCAAGGAAGGGAGGGCAGGGCCUCCAGGAUGGGCAUCUCCAUCCACAGGCUGCCCUGUGUAUAUUUCUCAGUGACAGUAAUGGCUCCUGCGAGGGACGGGGUCAGAGGCAGACAGAAGCGAGAGCUUUGAAAAAUUUGAGACAGGGUUAAUUCUGCCAGUACCAGAGGAUGAAAAACGAAAGCCUGUGGUUCUCAGGGGUACAGACCUGCCAGGGGCCUGAUGUAUACAGGGUGGGCAGAGGUGUCUGGAGAGGCCCACCUGUCUAAAGACUUAUGGCCAUAGUCUUCAUUAUCCUAAAAGCAGCAAUUUCCCAGUUAAUUUCCUCUACGUUUAAACCAAAGCCAAACCCAUUGCCAUUGAGUCCUGAUAAAAGGCCUGGAGUGCGCAAGGGUAGGUUUUCCAGUAGAGCGAUGAGGGGAGGAAGAUGGUAAUACCAUACCAGACAAGGAGACUCUUCUUUGUGCCUUGUGUUACCUACUCAAUUGCACAUGGUGUUCAGCCCUCAUCUUUGCGUGUACACGUGUACAUGCAUUAAGAGUUACUAUAUUGACCUCGCAGAAUUCUUUUUGGUCCUUUCUAGGGAUAGAGAUCAGAAGAGGUCACUGGCUUCAUAUACCAAACAUGAAAUCUGCAGUCUGACUUUUGUACAGUCUGUGUUUGUGUUCUCUAUCCAGGGAUUAAAAUCUCUGAUCUGACAUUAAAGAUUGUUUUUUUUUCCUGCAAGAAAAAGAGGAAGACCCUCAACAAGAUGGAUUAACACAAUGGCUGCAACAAUGGGAUCAAACAGCAACAAUUGUGAGGAUGGCGCAGGAUGGGGUAGUAUUUCCUACUGUUGUACAUAAGGUCAUUAUGAGUCGGAACCAACUUGAUGGCACCUAACAGCAACAACAACAUAAAAAAAUAGUUUUAAAAACAUACAUGUCAUAUUUUACGACUUGCACAUAUCUUAUAAUCUUAUUAUGACAUACGUAACAGUACAAAUUUGUAAAGAAGUUAUAAUACAAGCCAUCCCUACAUGUGUGUGAUGCUCCUGCUCCCCCAAGGUGUCCAGUGUUCAAAGACACAUGUGUGUUCUUCCUUACAUUUCUCUUUUCUGGGACACAUGUUACAGUCGUACAUAUCCAUGUAGAUCUAUUUGCAUGUUUGCUGUUACAGAACCUUCAACACGGUCUACCCACAUUGCUCCUUGCCCCUUUUUUCACUUGACAUUUGAUCAUGGCUCCCCUGUAAGUCAGUAGAUAUGGAACUAAUGCUGCUUAGUUCUUCUAAUUUUUUAACUCGUAUUUAUACAUAAAGAAUGUAAAUAAAUGGGAACAAUGACAAUGUGCAACCUAUACACUUUCAUAUAACUCUACAGAAAUGAAAACACAUAGCAGCUAUGAUCUUUAAAAAAAACCCACUGCCAAUGAGUCAAUUAAGCAUAGUUUUUUCAGUAUGUUCUAGCUCCCCACCCCUUGUCCCUUCCCAUAACUGAAUCUAAGAUAGUUCAUAUCAACAAUCAGGUAAGUGUUCUAUCUUAUUAUUCUUGCUUAAACUAUCAUACUCACACAUGCAAAUAACCACAUCUACUCAUUUAUGGAUAUAUAUAUGCUUGGAUUCAAAUACAUUUGGUUAUUUGUUAUUGUUUUACCCAUAUGGGCUCACUUUAUAUAUAUACUUCUCUCUGUCUUGGUUUUUUUUCUUCAAUGAUACUUCACAGUGAUUUCACUUACUAAUCUUCUAUAGCUCUGUUUCAUUCUAAUGACUACCAUAUAUUAUUAUAUGAUAUGGUUAUUAUAUUAUUAUUGUAAUAUUACUGGAAUAUUUGAAUAUUAUGCAUUAAAAUUUUAUUAUAAUAUCACAUCCUUAAUGGGCAAUAAUUUUAUUUUUCCUUUUUUGUCUUUAACAAUAACCAUCCUUUGCAUAUACUACAUGGAGCCCUGGUGGCACAGUGGUUAAGAGCCCAGCUGCUAACCAAAAGGUUGGCAGUUCGAAUCCACCAGCUGCUCCCUGAAAACUGUAUGAGGCAGUUCUACUGUGUCCUGCAGGGUUACUAUGUACUACAAGAUUUGUAUCUGUGGGGUAGAUUCUAAUGAGUGAGAUUUCCAGUUCAAAGAAUGUUUUAAAAAGUAUAGAGCCAUGUCUAUGUCUUUCCCCUAAAAGUCUGUAGUAACGCACCUGUCUUUGUCAUCUAGUGCUGCUAUAACAAAAGUACCACAAGUGGAUAGCUUUAACAAAGAGAAUUUAUUCUCUCACUAUCUAGUAGGCUACAAGCCCAAAUUCAGGGUGGCUAUCUAUCUCUGUUAGCUCUGGAGAAAGGUCCUUGUCAUCACUCUUUCCUUGGUCUGGGAGCUUCUCAGUGCGGGAAUCUCAGGUCAAUUGCUUCCCUUUCCUUUUAUCUCUUGUAAGGUAAAAGGUGGUGCAGGCCACACGCCGGGGAAACUCCGUUUACACUGGAUCAUAGUAAGGGUGUUAAAAUCCCACCCUAAUCCUCUUUAAUGUAAAAUUACAAUCAAAAGUGGAGGACAAUUACACAAUACUGGGAAUCAUGGCCCAGACAAAUUGAUAUAUACCUUUUGGAGGGGACAUAAUUCCAUCCAUGACAGCACCUUUCCAGCCAUGUCUGAGGGCAUCCUUCUCCCCACAGCCCAGCCAGCCAUAAGUGGUGUUGAUUUUUCAAUUGUGCCGGUUUCACUGGGAUUUUGACUGACAUUUUCUUAACUAUCAGUGUUUUUGAAACUUUGAUUAUUUUUAUUGGGGAUUUGGAUAUUUUCUGAAUGGUCGGUAAUUGCUCAUUACCGACAGUUCUGAUGAGGGUCACAAUACAUAGAUGCUGAAAAAGUGGGAGAAAAAUGAAGAACAGAGCUCAGAUUAUUAAAAAGUCCAGACUUACCGGACCAGUUGAGACUAUAUAUAUACUUAUAAUACAAACCAUCCCUGAGAUACUCUUUAAACCUUGUACUGAAACUAUUCCCUGAGUUCAUCUUUUAGCGAAAUAGCAGACUGGCACACAAAAUAAAGGGUAUUAUCCAUCAGUAUGGCACUCCAUUAAAAAACCAUUAUGUGCAGCCAAAAUGUCAACCAUUACUCUAAAGCAAAGAUGAGAUGAUAAGGGGGCAGGGAAACUAGAGUACUGGAAAUGGAACAACCGGAACACAAUUAAAGACACUGUUGACACGCUGUGAAAGAUCUGAAUGAUUUUUGUAGAAAUUGUCAGAUGGGAACCUAAUUUGCUGCGUAAAGUUUCACCAAAAACAUAAUAAAAUAUUAUUUAAAAAAAUCAUUGCUCAUUUUCCAAGUGCCAAAUUUUUGUGUCUCCUUCAUCUAAAGUAGGAAUAGUUAUUAGUCCUUUGUCAUCUAUGUUUCAAAUUUUUAAAUCUUUUGCUUGUUUAUCUCUUCUUUUUUCUU